GCCUGGCUGGCUGAGUCGGUAGAGCGUUGGACUCUUGAUCUUGGGGUCCUGGGUUUGAGCCCCAUGUUGGGUG
Molecule: transfer RNA, 73 nt
Filed under: Ailuropoda melanoleuca (giant panda)
Lineage: Eukaryota; Metazoa; Chordata; Mammalia; Carnivora; Ursidae
Rfam family: tRNA
About the family: Transfer RNA (tRNA) molecules are approximately 80 nucleotides in length. Their secondary structure includes four short double-helical elements and three loops (D, anti-codon, and T loops).
Source: Rfam by way of RNAcentral